UGCCAGCAGCCGCGGUAAUACAGAGGGUGCAAGCGGUAAUCGGAAUUACUGGGCGUAAAGCGCGCGUAGGUGGUUCAGUAAGAUGGAAGUGAAAUCCCCGGGCUUAACCUGGGAACUGCUUUCAUAACUGCUGAGCUAGAGUACGGUAGAGGGUAGUGGAAUUUCCUGUGUAGCGGUGAGAUGCGUAGAUAUAGGAAGGAACACCAGUGGCGAAGGCGGCUACCUGGACUGAUACUGACACUGAGGUGCCAAAGCGCCGGCAGCUAACCGGAUCAGAUA
This 279-nucleotide ribosomal RNA is filed under the name uncultured bacterium. RNAcentral's name for it is "partial 16S ribosomal RNA". It matches the Rfam family "Bacterial small subunit ribosomal RNA", at positions 506 to 784 of the family's 1533-position model. The record is from RNAcentral.